AUUGAAUGGACAGGAAAUAUGAAUUAUUAUUAACCAACAGAAAAAUCCACAUCAAACCGAUAGGUUGCAUCUCAGUGAUAUGUGAAUAUAAAAUAGUGAAUAUUGCAAAUUGAAAAUACUUAAUUGCCACAACUGUUUAUUCAGCGCAUGCGCUUGUUGGCCACGACACAGGGUUUCCUGUCAACAUGGGAAGGGCUGGCAGUGGCAGGCAACAUGUGUUCCAGUUCCUCUCCGGUUGAAGUUUUCUCAACUUUGUUUGCAGGAUGGCCACAUUUCGAAAAGAUAAGAGCACCACAUCUCCCAUGUUCUUCAAGCACUGUGGUUUCUCCUUAGACCAGGACAAUCUUCCCUGAGUGACACCAGGAGCUUCACCAUAGGAGACCCCAAAAGGGAGUUGUGCCUUAAAGUCACGCCUUGUAAGAUAUCAUCACAAAGCUGACCUUGUUGGGGGAAGGCUCUGGGUGACGCUGAGGACACAUUGUUGACGGAUCAUGACCUCUGACAUCCUCAGGCACCGCAAAGAUGCUGCUCUUCGAGGACUUCCAGUAUUUCUCUGUGAGGACCCCAAGGAACUUUUCAAAGAGUGCCUUGAGGCCGAUGCAGAUGGUGUGGCUGUGGGCAUUCUAUAUGUUCGUGAAGACUGUGGUCCAGGUACAUCUACGCGAGUGCAAAACAUUGCCGUCAUCCUCGAGGAGAGUUGUUUUGCAAGAUAUCCCAGAUACCCCAACUGCUCUGGCAUACCUUUUUGGCUUCCUUUAUGCCCUGAAUAUCUCCUACCCAAAGGCUCUGAAGUAUACCUUCGAUACUUUGCAAAAUGUCUUCAUGGAGAUUUGUCUCAAAUGUACACGGCGUGUACAAUCUCUGAAAAACAAACUGGCACUGUAAGACUGACGGCGAGGCUGUAAUGUCAAGUUCCCAUGACUGCCUAUGUUCUCACAAUGUUGGAGUAUGGCUAUAUUUCUGAGGGAAAAAAUGUGGAUGACAUUUGAACUUAGCUUAUACUGUAAGACUGAAGACGAGGCUGUAUUUUGAAAUGUGUGGCGGUUACAUCAAGUUCCUUUGAUGGCCUAUGCUCCCACGGUGUUGGAGUAUGACUACCUUGUAUUUCUGAGGGGAAAAUGUGGAAGACAUUUUAACAAACUUGCACUUGAAGAGUGAAUACAAGGUUGUAUUUUGAGAUGCAUACUGGUUACGUCAAGUUCCCCUUGAUGACCCAUCUUCUCACAGUGUGGAGUAUCGCUGAGUUUUACCUCCUUACUUGGGCUAUACUAGCCUGGUUCUCACCGAUGGUGCGGGUGUGUACACAAACCAGCAUCUGGUAGCGUUGCCAUUAACAUGCUCUUCUGGAGUCGAAAAUAAAUGGUGCAUUUAUUGCAAUUCACCACCAACAUAUUUCAACUCGCCACCAACAAAUUCCUCCAAAAAUGUUUUCGGUUAAUCUCUAGAGUCAAUGUGAGCAGCCGUUGAU
Engraulis encrasicolus (European anchovy) is the source of this 1468-nucleotide long non-coding RNA. RefSeq lists it as uncharacterized. The transcript has 5 exons. Lineage: Eukaryota; Metazoa; Chordata; Actinopteri; Clupeiformes; Engraulidae. The record is from RefSeq and is a predicted model, not a curated record.